This 690-nucleotide long non-coding RNA is filed under the name Nicotiana benthamiana. Its description in RNAcentral is "long non-coding RNA (NBEN_LNC016443)". The record is from RNAcentral. Lineage: Eukaryota; Viridiplantae; Streptophyta; Magnoliopsida; Solanales; Solanaceae.
UCCGUUGGUGUUCUCAGUCUCAGUGCGACCUUGCUUGGUCAACAAGGGGAUCAAAAUGAGCGAGUUCUCGUCCCAUACUCAAGUCUGACUUCGAUCAUCGUCUCCCGUCUGCGCAAGAUGGAUUUGGCUUCGGUGAUUCACCAUUUGAAAGACGAGAGAACACUAUCGGCACAGAACCAACAAAGUCCGGUUCUGUUUCAACCGUAGGUAUUAGUGAAUGAAUAAAGAAAGUAGGUAUAUGUGAAUAAAUUCAUUAAGUCUUAAUGCCAAUGUCGGCCAAUAGGCUUAAAAACAAAAAGAAAAUGGAAAUGAAUGUUGGAGUCUCCUUACUUCUCAGCCCUAAGCUAAGUCUUCCUCAAUGACCGAUCACUUUUCAGCAUAUUCCGGUAAAGCCUUAAAGGCAAGGAAAGCUUUCAAGCUAAUAAGCUACUUAAGAAAGAAACUAAAGAAAGAAAAGAAUUGAAAAGACAGAAAGGAAAGAGUACAAAGAGAGAUACGGAAAGGUUGAAAAGCAGGGGAUAGGACAGUAAUAGGAUGGCAUUUCCCGUAUGAAUGGAUUAGGUAUAGGUGGAAGGAGAUGAAAGCUGGCGCAUAAGUAAUGUAAUGAUGGCUAAGGGCUUUCUUUUUACCGGUUUGAAAGGAAGAGUGUGCCAUGGUGAAAUGCAAGACAGAACAGAAAGCAAGGAAGGU